AGGAUGAAUGCUGGCGGCGCGCCUAACACAUGCAAGUCGAGCGGAAAGGCCCUUCGGGGUACUCGAGCGGCGGACGGCUGAGUAACGCGUGGGAACAUGCCCCAAAGUGAGGAAUAACUGCCCGAAAGGGUAGCUAAUGCCGCAUAUGAUCUUAGGAUUAAAGGAUUUAUCCGCUUUGGGAGUGGCCCGCGUACGAUUAGGUAGUUGGUGAGGUAAAGGCUCACCAAGCCCACGAUCGUUAACUGGUCUGAGAGGAUGAUCAGUCAGACUGGAACUGAGACACGGUCCAGACUCCUACGGGAGGCAGCAGUGAGGAAUCUUCCACAAUGGGC
This 332-nucleotide ribosomal RNA is filed under the name uncultured bacterium. RNAcentral describes it as "SSU rRNA". It matches the Rfam family "Bacterial small subunit ribosomal RNA", at positions 26 to 376 of the family's 1533-position model. The record is from RNAcentral.